CUAAUACCGCAUAAGAUUACAGUACCGCAUGAUACAGUGAUCAAAGGAGCAAUCCGCUGAAAGAUGGGCUCGCGUCCGAUUAGAUAGUUGGUGAGGUAACGGCUCACCAAGUCGACGAUCGGUAGCCGGACUGAGAGGUUGAACGGCCACAUUGGGACUGAGACACGGCCCAGACUCCUACGGGAGGCAGCAGUGGGGAAUAUUGCACAAUGGGCGAAAGCCUGAUGCAGCAACGCCGCGUGAGGGAAGACGGUUUUCGGAUUGUAAACCUCUGUUUUCGGUGACGAAUAAAUGACGGUAACCGAGUAGGAAGCCACGGCUAACUACGUGCCAGCAGCCGCGGUAAUACGUAGGUGGCAAGCGUUAUCCGGAAUUACUGGGUGUAAAGGGAGCGCAGGCGGGAUAGCAAGUCAGUUGUGAAAACUAUGGGCUCAACCCAUAGAUUGCAGUUGAAACUGUUAUUCUUGAGUGGAGUAGAGGCAAGCGGAAUUCCGAGUGUAGCGGUGAAAUGCGUAGAUAUUCGGAGGAACACCAGUGGCGAAGGCGGCUUGCUGGGCUCUAACUGACGCUGAGGCUCGAAAGUGUGAGGAGCAAACAGGAUUAGAUACCCUGGUAGUCCACACUGUAAAC
RNAcentral lists this ribosomal RNA (630 nucleotides) under uncultured bacterium. RNAcentral describes it as "bacterial SSU rRNA". It matches the Rfam family "Bacterial small subunit ribosomal RNA", at positions 163 to 807 of the family's 1533-position model. The record is from RNAcentral.